UGUAAGCGUAUACCAAAGUUGUUGCAGUUAAAACGCUCGUAGUCGGAAUUUGGCAGUUCCGGAUGUGUGCACGUCGUGUGCGCACUUCGCGGGGAUUGCUUUUGUGGUCUUGCGUAGGAUGAGGCACUUUUAUUAGUGAACGUCCUCACGCAACCACUUUUUACUGUGAGAAAAUCAGAGUGCUCAAAGCAGGCAUUUGCCGUGAAUGUAUUAGCAUGGAAUAAUAGAAUAGGACUUGGUUCUAUUUUGUUGGUUUGUUGGGACUGAGUAAUGAUUAAGAGGGACAGUUGGGGGCAUUUGUAUGUCGGUGCUAGAGGUGAAAUUCUUAGAUUACCGAAAGACAAACUGCUGCGAAAGCGUCUGCCAAGGAUGUUUUCACUGA
This 382-nucleotide ribosomal RNA is filed under the name uncultured eukaryote. RNAcentral describes it as "partial 18S ribosomal RNA". It matches the Rfam family "Eukaryotic small subunit ribosomal RNA", at positions 592 to 976 of the family's 1831-position model. The record is from RNAcentral.